GACUCUUCGCUCAGUGUCGCUCAUGUGAACGGAAUCUUUCUCGUGUCGCGGAUAAUGAAACAAGUGAAAAAUUAGUGUAUAUUUUUUUUAUUUAGAAAACUAGCUGUUCCAUUAAUAUAUGCCAGAAAAGGAGAGCGUCUUGCAAAUUUAUGAACGCGUUAAAUUAUCUGCGAAAAAAUGGAGUUCUGGGCAUAAUCCAAGUGGGUAACCAACGAGCUAGUUAAUUAGCUCCAUGGGGGGCUGUAAAGUGAAAGAAAAAGAUAGUUUUGUAGCUAUACAGACAUAUGUCUCGUAAGCGCUACGUCACGAUGCAAUUUCACGGCAUUGCCAGCAGCGAAAAUUAUAAAAAGGUAGAGAGAAAAAACCAAUUCUCAGGCAAUCGAAUGAGCCAGGCCUCAAAUGAAGGCGAAGAAAACUACCUAAGUGCAAAGAAAAGGCCCUGACCCGAGGCAGCUGCAACUGCACAAAAGAGGUGGAGGGUCGCCGAAAAGAGGCCCCGGACGAACCCCUGGGAACCCAAGCCGACUACCGGCUUAGGGGAUGGGAUCCGAAGCGAAUGUGCACCUACCUGGCCCAACAAUGGCGUGGCCUAGGAGACCGAGGCUACCAGCCCGAGUCCGUCACCGAGUCGAGCAUCAGUCGAUUAAAAGUGCUCUAGCCAGCGACAUGGCGAACGCGGAGAACACCAGGGAACCUUUUGACCUCGACUGACUGAGGACCAGUGCGUUUUUUUUUAUUGUGAAAAUUUUUAAGUGGGGAUUUCGUGAGCUUAGUGCAACUGUACCAGAAGGAGACCUACGCAACGGGACGGGUUGUGACGCCAUGGCAGUGGAACUUUCCAGGCCCCCAGCCUAGAUCUUUCGUGUUGUUUGUGCUGCAAUAUUCACCUAUGGCCAUGGCCAGAAUCACCCACUCACUAGCAUCACCCCAUUGCUCCAUCAACCGAUAAAUCAAGCAAGAAAACCCCUAAUCGAUCAGAGGAGGCCAUGGCCCUGGGUCUCUGGCGCCCAUCCCUGGUGGCGCUCAAUACAGCAGCGUCCUCGGGCGACUCGCAGUUGCGGGCGCGGCAGGAGUCGGACUGCAGCGGCGUGGGUGGUGCGCACCGGCGGUGUGACGGCUGGUGGGCGCUGCCUCAUAACCAAUGCUUGCAACUGCAUCUAUGGCCGCGAUGGGGCCCGCAAGGGCCCACAGAAUCGAAGAGUACCGCUGGCGGUGGAAGAGUUUGACCGACGCGAGCGAGAGGCGAAUAUAAAGACUGAAAAGCGUUCACUUGGUGCCACACGGGAUACACGCGAACAUCGUGCGGGACGAAGCGUAACCACAUACUUCUACCAAAGCGGUGCAAGCACUCGUGUGGCACUACGUGAAAGCGACUGAGAUAGCAACAUGUGUGAGAGGGACCAAGAGAGUACGCUCCUCUCUUUCAUGACUGGUCAUGGGAAUGAAAAGGAUAGCCACUCGUGUCGCGCCGGCCAAACGAUUCCAUCGAAAGCGGCAGAGCAGGACGGCCACAGAGCAGUUUGCACAGCCCGAAUAAGAGCGGUAACGCAAUACAACCACAUCCCGCAAGAAAGCUAACGCAUCCCUGAUGUGUAUAACAGUGGGCGUGCUCACCUCCCCACACACGUACACGCCGCAUGCACGCACGCACGCAGGCACGACGGCGGUCUGUCGAAACGUAGAGAUCGGGAUAGCUGCCAGGGGCGAUAGGCUUCUAAUAUAAAGCACAAGAGCAAAAAUCUGCCCAGGCAGGUGCUCUAACCUAACAUCCUCACUGAGUGAUCAAGAAUAAUCGUAUAAACUAGCAAAUUUCAUCGUAACGUUCAAACCUCACCUCAUCAAGCCGCACCCAUGGCCUAUAUCUAAAUAUUGUCAGAGUUAAGUCUCUCGGGUCUCAAGCGAUGAUUUCUUUCCGCCCGGAAAGAGCUGCUGCCUGGUAGCCACAGGGAACGGACCAGGGUGCGGGGACCAUAGGUAUUUCAGGUAUACCUACAAAUUAGUGCUAGUCUAGUCAAGUCGCUGGCUUUUGCUGUCACAUAGCCGACCAGAAGAAGCUGCCACUGCAUAGAUUCACAGGGAGUUCGGAACUCUCAGAGCUCUCCGCCCAGCUGCAGGACAACAUCAGCCACACAUUCCUUUAGAUCGCCUCCAGCAGGGUUCAAAAGCCAAGUUAAGUCACCAAAAUCACCAACUUUUUAAAUCAUAGCACAGUCUAGAAACAUCUAGUCGAUCCUUGGACAACCGUCCAGCCGGCCCCCAUCAUAGAAGAUUACAGAUCAGCCAAUAAACCAAUAAAAUAUAUAACAAUAUACAAAAAAAGUGAAAGCCAAGUAAACAAAUAAAAUAAAAAGCAAAAAAAUUAAUGCUGAAUCGCUAUACGAUUUGUCAUAAGAAAAAAUAAUACAAAAUGUAUUGAAGCUUUCUACGAUCUUUAAUAAAAGAUCUCAUUGUGAGCAAAUUGAAAAAAAACCCUCUGUUGGUCAAUCGUUCGACCUGCAGUUGGUUUGCCAAGGCAACCGUCACAAUCUAUGCUGAUAAUGAAGAAACCUACUUAUGACUUAUGACAAAUCGUGUGAACAUAACCGCAGAGGCAACGCAAUACUUUAGAUGGUGGCCGGCGAAACGUUUGCCCCCAAAAUUCGCUGAAAAAAAACAACUGAAUAUCAGAACCCGUUUACAAAAAAUGCAGUCUUUAUUGGUGACUUGCUUAGAGCUGAGCCUUGUGAUUUUCAAAAUUUCUGUUUGUUAACUAGUCACUUUCAUAGGCGAAAUGUCCUGCAGCUGAAGGGUUUGUUUGGGGGACCGUUCUCCCGCCUGAAUUUGAUAUGGAAGCAGAGCCAAAGGAUUUCGGACCAUCGAUCCCGUCCACCCUCAACCGGCCACAGCCAAGAAGCUCUGCCACAUCUCAGAGAAGAGUCCGCUAACCAAACAAUUUGUAAAACUUUCAGGUUCUGCCUGGAGGACACCUGUUUCUGUUUCUGUUUGUUUUGUCUGUUUGAUAACCCCCGUCCAUUGUGUGCUCCCACUUAAGCCCAAGUUUCCAGUUUUCCCAUUAAUAUGUGUACUUCCACCUUUUUAGUUUCCACUGUCCCAAACCCCAGACUCCUGACACCCACACCACAGUCCCCACACUGAUCAACACACAGAUAAACUAUCGCAUACACACAAUCGUUCGGGUUUCGGAAAACGCGUCGAAGCGUUUCGUGGUCUUGAAACGUUUUCCGAAACAGAAAAUUUCGAAUUUGCGUAUAACAAAAAAAAAAAA
RNAcentral lists this small RNA (3265 nucleotides) under Drosophila pseudoobscura pseudoobscura. RNAcentral describes it as "GA30763". The record is from RNAcentral. Lineage: Eukaryota; Metazoa; Arthropoda; Insecta; Diptera; Drosophilidae.